CCUACGGGUGGCAGCAGUGAGGAAUAUUGGUCAAUGGACGAGAGUCUGAACCAGCCAAGUAGCGUGAAGGAUGACUGCCCUACGGGUUGUAAACUUCUUUUAUAUAGGAAUAAAAUGUUCCACGUGUGGGUUUUUGUAUGUACCAUAUGAAUAAGGAUCGGCUAACUCCGUGCCAGCAGCCGCGGUAAUACGGAGGAUCCGAGCGUUAUCCGGAUUUAUUGGGUUUAAAGGGAGCGUAGGUGGGUUGUUAAGUCAGUUGUGAAAGUUUGCGGCUCAACCGUAAAAUUGCAGUUGAUACUGGCAGUCUUGAGUACAGUAGAGGUGGGCGGAAUUCGUGGUGUAGCGGUGAAAUGCUUAGAUAUCACGAAGAACUCCGAUUGCGAAGGCAGCUCACUGGACUGCAACUGACACUGAGGCUCGAAAGUGUGGGUAUCAAACAGGAUUAGAUACCCUGGUAGUC
This 460-nucleotide ribosomal RNA is filed under the name uncultured bacterium. RNAcentral's name for it is "partial 16S ribosomal RNA". It matches the Rfam family "Bacterial small subunit ribosomal RNA", at positions 338 to 795 of the family's 1533-position model. The record is from RNAcentral.